GAAAAAUAAUGGUGGAGAGAAAGAAAAACAUAAAGGUGGAGCUGUGAAGAGAGCGAAAGGAAACCCUAAGUAGCGGAGCAUUUGGCAUCGAUAUUCGGAACAGAGAAAGACAGAGUUAACUGUCCUUUUUUAUUUCAAGAUCGGAGCUUGUAGACAUGGCGACCGCUGUUCUCUCCAACAUUAGCCCCACUCUUGUUCUCUCCAACAUGUAUCAAAGACCUGAUACGAACCUCAACUUCAUCAACCCUACCCCUAAUCAACCUCAACCUCGACCUGAAUCUCUUGACCCCGACAAGCUCCAAGAACACUUCGAUGAUGAGCGUUGAAGCGUUGAACUGCGAUGCAUGAGAAACUUUUAAAGAGAAAAAACCCUUGGUUACGAUGGAUGGAGAACUGACUACAGACAAUUAAUCGCCGAUCUUAUUUAUUACUUUUAUCUAAUGAGCGACCAAACCAAAGUUCAAGGCGAAAAGUGAAAAUGCGUUGUUGGAUAUAAAUACAAAGAAAGAAAGGGAGCAAGGGAGAAGAGAGCAAUGUUCCGUGUGAUAAUUGAAAACGAUGGGAUAAUGGUCAUAUUAUUUUGACAAGGUUCAUGUUUCAAUAUAUGCUGCAGCGUUUCCUGCAAGUUGUGAGAAUAGAAGAGAAUGAGCUAUUGUUGGUGGCUUGUUGACUUGCGUCCAUCUUCUCAAUAGUCAUACCAUAACAAUAUUAUUAUGGUUUGAAUGAUAGAUGAUAAGGAUAUUGCGUGGAAGUCUGAUUUACUUUAUGUGAGUGAAUGAAUUUGUGAUAUAACUCUGUUAGUUGUCAGAUGUGUCAAAGACUAUAUGUGCGAAGACAUAAUUUGCAAACGACAGAUUGGAUCUAUUUCUACGUUUCAAACACGGGUAAUACAUCAUUUGGUGGAUAUUAUGAUCUGUUGUAUUUGUUGGACGCGCUGCAUACCAAUCUCUAGACAUCUUUAUUCAUGUUAGUUUCUUAUUAUCAUUAUUCUAGUUUGAGUCCAACGUCAUUUGACUAUCAAAAUAUUGGGUCAUAUUUGGAAUAUCGUUCGAAGGUUUACCUUGAGAAGAAUCUUUACCCUUUUAUUGCUAUACAUCUAAAUGAGAUAAUCUAUAAAAGAAUGUGUAAUGUUAACCACUCAAUAUUAUUUUUGAAGUUAAAGUGGUUUUGACAUUUUUGUUAACAAUGUAUCAGAGUCUUUUGUAGAUUCUUUCAAGCAAUGUUAAAUGCAUAACAAUUUGACACAAUCAAAUUGAAGACAUUGUACUCUAUAAUAGGAUUAAAAGGGUGAAGAUUCUUUUUGAAGAUAAAAUUUGUUUAUUCUAAAUAUGACCUAAGAUUCAAUCAACUGGUGUUGUAGAAUAAUGAUAUUCUAUAUGACGACUAAAAGAAAUAAAGGUGUCCAAACAUUGGUAUGUAGCGCGUCCAACAAAUACAUAUCAUAUCAUAUCCACCAAAUGGUCAACGAAUGGAUGGUGUAUUAUCGGUUUUGACGCAGAGAAAUAGAUCCAUCAUUUGCAAAUUUUGUUUUUGACAUCUCUGAACACUAAUAGAGCUAUGUCUCAAGUUAACUUCACAUGAACUAAAUCAGCUUUCAACACAAAAUCCUCAUCAUUUAUUCUUCGAAUCAUAAUGCUAUUGUUAUGGUAUGAUUUAACAAGAGGAUGGACGUAAGUCAACAAAAAUACCAUAAUAUGUCUUAUGUCUGGACAUGCAUUGUAUCACAAAUAUAUGUUAUGCCGCUAUGAUUACACAUUUUACCAAGGAAGAACUUUAAUGCGAAGUUUAUUAUUUUUUAUGAUUGCUGGUAAGUUCUCUUAAAAAACCAAACAUUUUUUUUAGAAUGUGAAAAGGAAAGAUUUUGUCGGGAUUUAUGUCGUUGGAAAGCAGAAGAAUAGCAAUUAUUGUUGCAACAUGGGCAGGAAAAUGUUAUGUCCAUGAACGGCCAUGGCUUUCUCUGGAUUAGUUCAAAUAAUUAAAGAGUUGUUUUGGCAUAUGUUUAUUCAUUGUAUUGAGUCCAAAAAUUCCGUGUUCAACCUAAACUGAAUUGAAUGAAGACAUUGUUCUUUACAUGGGUUGGCAAUAUCGAUGGUCUUAGUAAAUAGACGAUUAUGCCAAUGUUAACCCGAGUAGAAGUCAUUUCAUCUUCGUCUACAUUCUAGUCGUGGGUCGUUAUUUUGCCAAACCAUUUGAUCUUAUGGCUGCUCCAGGUGAAUUCAGGGUAUUCCGACGACCUUUUCUUGGAGUUGAGGCUACAAAUUUUUACGCAGCUGAUAUAUCUCUCAUAGAGAAGAUUAUUCAAAAGAUUCUGAAUAUUUGCAAUGGGGUUUUUGUUGAGAAGAUAUCUUGCAAAUUCGUUCAUAGAUUUCAUAAACAACGUUAAGUAUAUAGCAACUUGGCUACAACAAUUAUAGCUACGAUUUGGGCCUUGGAUAUUAAAGACCAAUACUCUAAAAUGGAAUAGAAGGGGGAAGAUUCUUCUCAAAGGAGGGCAAACACUAUACAGCAAAGUUUAUGUUCUAUUUCUGCUAGAUAGUGUGUUCCUAUUGUGUAGGGAGGACAUGUCUCUUGGAUCUAAGGCCAAGCCGUAGGCAAUUGAAAAGGAAGGGUCCAUUUAUGUUUCUAAUUAGGUUUGUAUUUGAUAUUUGAUGUUCUUUCUGGAUUCUCUGUUUUUUAUUGAGCUAACUUUUGGAGAUGACUUUUAAUUCAAACCCUAGCAUGAAAAUAACUAGAGUUUAAGUUUAGCUUGUGACUAGAUUCUAGUUUAGCACGAAUAUCCUGACCAAACUAAAUUAGAUAGAGGAUUAAUGAAUUUGGAUAAUUUAAGAAA
Non-coding RNA from Cicer arietinum (chickpea), 2830 nucleotides. NCBI's taxonomy places the organism in Eukaryota, Viridiplantae, Streptophyta, Magnoliopsida, Fabales, Fabaceae. The record is from RefSeq and is a predicted model, not a curated record.